Molecule: long non-coding RNA, 451 nt
Organism: Girardinichthys multiradiatus
Lineage: Eukaryota; Metazoa; Chordata; Actinopteri; Cyprinodontiformes; Goodeidae
Exons: 3
Source: RefSeq, a predicted model, not a curated record
CCACGUAGUCCCGGACUGUCCGGACAAACUGGAUCAGGGACUGGGUGCUCUCCGGAACGCCGUGGUCAGGCCACACGGUGUAGUGAAAGUGGCGCAGCAUCCGGGAAUAACUGCGGCUGUUCUCCUUUAAAUCAGAAAUGCAGGAAGCUACAGUGAAUGAUGCUGAGGAGCAGGUACCGAGGUGAUCUUGAACUCUCUGAUGGUCCACUCGGGCAGGACGGACUCUGACAGCAUCUGAAUGACCAGGUCGCCGUAGUACAGCGGUUCCUUGUCAGCAGGCCAGUACUGAUCACACUUCACCUGGAAACAUAACAGGUGGUGCAGCAGCACAUGUUCAUUAUUCAAGGAUACCUACAUGGCAGGAUGUUGUUGUAGCGGUUCUUCCCUCGGUUUUCCGGCAGUCUGGCGAGGUCCAUCGUCUGAUUGCGGCCCACAUCCUUCAGAUCCUGCA